Molecule: ribosomal RNA, 364 nt
Filed under: uncultured bacterium
Lineage: Bacteria
Description: bacterial SSU rRNA
Rfam family: Bacterial small subunit ribosomal RNA
Source: RNAcentral
AUUGAACGCUGGCGGCAUGCUUUACACAUGCAAGUCGAACGGUAACAGGCCUUCGGUGCUGACGAGUGGCGAACGGGUGGAGUAAUGCAUCGGAACGUGCCCAAUCGUGGGGAGUAACGUAGCGAAAGUUACGCUAAUACCGCAUAAGCCCUGAGGGGGAAAGGCAGGGGAGUCGCAAGACCUUGCGCGAAUGGAGCGGCCGAUGUCAGAUUAGCUAGUUGGUGGGGUAAAGGCCUACCAAGGCGACGAUCUGUAGCGGGUCGUGAGAGGAUGAUCCGCCACACUGGGACUGAGACACGGCCCAGACUCCUACGGGAGGCAGCAGUGGGGAAUUUUGGUACGAAUAGGCGGCGAACGACCGUCG